Molecule: long non-coding RNA, 332 nt
Filed under: Equus caballus (horse)
Lineage: Eukaryota; Metazoa; Chordata; Mammalia; Perissodactyla; Equidae
Description: lncRNA (ENSECAG00000044661.1)
Source: RNAcentral
UUUCCUCUGUGAAUUUUUCUAUCCCAUGACCUCUGAGGUAGCUCACGUGUUUGUGUGCUUGGAGGUUACUAUUGCAUCAAAUGCUUUCCCGCAUGACACCAUCCCACUACCAACUGCUCCCAUUAGCCUUCCAACUCACCUCCGUUAUCUGCAAGACUAUCUGCCCACUUCGGCAGUCACACAUCUGCUAGCUGAUCUCCUGAAAAUGCAGUUUGACCACGUUCAUUCCAAAACUACAGGACAUCCACCACGUGCCAGGAUACUUUCUUUUGAAAACCCACCAAUCUGCCCUUUAAUGAGAAACUAGUCCCUGAAAAGGCCCUUGGAUCAGA